AAUACAUUUUUGAAGCAAUUAGCUUGCUAAGAGUGGAAAUGUUGUAUUCUUAGUGGCGGACGGGUGAGUAACGCGUGGAUAACCUGCCUCACACUGGGGGAUAACAGCCAGAAAUGGCUGCUAAUACCGCAUAAGCGCACAGCAUCGCAUGAUGUGGUGUGAAAAGCGUCAGUGGUGUGAGAUGGAUCCGCGUCUGAUUAGCUAGUUGGUAGGGUAAGAGCCUACCAAGGCGACGAUCAGUAGCCGGCCUGAGAGGGUGAACGGCCACAUUGGGACUGAGACACGGCCCAAACUCCUACGGGAGGCAGCAGUGGGGGAUAUUGCACAAUGGGGGAAACCCUGAUGCAGCGACGCCGCGCGAGUGAAGGAGUAUUUCGGUAUGUAAAGCUCUAUCAGCAGGGAAGAAAAUGACGGUACCUGACUAAGAAGCCCCGGCUAACUACGUGCCAGCAGCCGCGGUAAUACGUAGGGGGCAAGCGUUAUCCGGAUUUACUGGGUGUAAAGGGGGCGUAGACGGCAAGACAAGCCAGAUGUGAAAGGCAGGGGCUCAACCCCUGGACUGCAUUUGGAACUGCCUGGCUAGAGUGUCGGA
RNAcentral lists this ribosomal RNA (592 nucleotides) under uncultured bacterium. Its description in RNAcentral is "bacterial SSU rRNA". It matches the Rfam family "Bacterial small subunit ribosomal RNA", at positions 50 to 653 of the family's 1533-position model. The record is from RNAcentral.